This 484-nucleotide ribosomal RNA is filed under the name uncultured bacterium. Its description in RNAcentral is "partial 16S ribosomal RNA". It matches the Rfam family "Bacterial small subunit ribosomal RNA", at positions 30 to 507 of the family's 1533-position model. The record is from RNAcentral.
AUUGAACGCUGGCGGCAGGCCUAACACAUGCAAGUCGAGCGGAUGAAGGGAGCUUGCUCCUGGAUUCAGCGGCGGACGGGUGAGUAAUGCCUAGGAAUCUGCCUGGUAGUGGGGGAUAACGUCCGGAAACGGGCGCUAAUACCGCAUACGUCCUGAGGGAGAAAGUGGGGGAUCUUCGGACCUCACGCUAUCAGAUGUGCCUAGGUCGGAUUAGCUAGUUGGUGGGGUAAAGGCCCACCAAGGCGACGAUCCGUAACUGGUCUGAGAGGAUGAUCAGUCACACUGGAACUGAGACACGGUCCAGACUCCUACGGGAGGCAGCAGUGGGGAAUAUUGGACAAUGGGCGAAAGCCUGAUCCAGCCAUGCCGCGUGUGUGAAGAAGGUCUUCGGAUUGUAAAGCACUUUAAGUUGGGAGGAAGGGCAGUAAGUUAAUACCUUGCUGUUUUGACGUUACCAACAGAAUAAGCACCGGCUAACUUCGUG